AUUGAACGCUGGCGGCAGGCCUAACACAUGCAAGUCGAGCGGAUGAAGGGAGCUUGCUCCUGGAUUCAGCGGCGGACGGGUGAGUAAUGCCUAGGAAUCUGCCUGGUAGUGGGGGAUAACGUCCGGAAACGGGCGCUAAUACCGCAUACGUCCUGAGGGAGAAAGUGGGGGAUCUUCGGACCUCCCGCUAUCAGAUGAGCCUAGGUCGGAUUAGCUAGUUGGUGGGGUAAAGGCCUACCAAGGCGACGAUCCGUAACUGGUCUGAGAGGAUGAUCAGUCACACUGGAACUGAGACACGGUCCAGACUCCUACGGGAGGCAGCAGUGGGGAAUAUUGGACAAUGGGCGAAAGCCUGAUCCAGCCAUGCCGCGUGUGUGAAGAAGGUCUUCGGAUUGUAAAGCACUUUAAGUUGGGAGGAAGGGCAGUAAGUUAAUACCUUGCUGCUUUGACGUUACCAACAGAAUAAGCACCGGCUAACUUCGUG
Molecule: ribosomal RNA, 484 nt
Filed under: uncultured bacterium
Lineage: Bacteria
Description: partial 16S ribosomal RNA
Rfam family: Bacterial small subunit ribosomal RNA
Source: RNAcentral